RNAcentral lists this ribosomal RNA (429 nucleotides) under Gemmatimonadota bacterium. RNAcentral's name for it is "Gemmatimonadetes bacterium partial 16S ribosomal RNA". It matches the Rfam family "Bacterial small subunit ribosomal RNA", at positions 355 to 776 of the family's 1533-position model. The record is from RNAcentral. Lineage: Bacteria; Pseudomonadati; Gemmatimonadota.
UAGGGAAUCUUCGGCAAUGGACGAAAGUCUGACCGAGCAACGCCGCGUGAGUGAAGAAGGUUUUCGGAUCGUAAAACUCUGUUGUUAGAGAAGAACAAGGACGUUAGUAACUGAACGUCCCCUGACGGUAUCUAACCAGAAAGCCACGGCUAACUACGUGCCAGCAGCCGCGGUAAUACGUAGGUGGCAAGCGUUGUCCGGAUUUAUUGGGCGUAAAGCGAGCGCAGGCGGUUUCUUAAGUCUGAUGUGAAAGCCCCCGGCUCAACCGGGGAGGGUCAUGGGAAACUGGGGGAAUUGAGUGCAGAAGAGGAGAGUGGAAUUCCAUGUGUAGCGGUGAAAUGCGUAGAUAUAUGGAGGAACACCAGUGGCGAGGGCGGCUCUCUGGUCUGUAACUGACGCUGAGGCUCGAAAGCGUGGGGAGCAAACAGG